Molecule: long non-coding RNA, 211 nt
Filed under: Mytilus galloprovincialis (Mediterranean mussel)
Lineage: Eukaryota; Metazoa; Mollusca; Bivalvia; Mytilida; Mytilidae
Source: RNAcentral
AAUUGCCGGAAAGCUGAAAUCAUCUCUUUUGUCGUGAAGUUUUGUUUUCAACCGACCCUCAUUGUCAAUUUCUAAAUGUAGGUCAAGAUAUGAGGCCGACUUAACUGUAUCUGUUGUAUCCUUUAUCUCAAAUUCGAUUGGAUAGAUGCAUUCAACAUAGCAUAUCCAAUUAUAGCCGUCAUCACGUGACUUUGGCGACGUCACACAUCAC